CUCUGACUCACUAAGCAUACACAGGGGCCUACUGUGGUGGGAACUAAGCCCCUAAACAUCGAGAAAAUAAGCAAGUGCGGAAUCCAUACAAGGGCAGGACCAGAGAAGUGAGCAGUUGAAUAGACUCUUCUGGCUUUGAAAGAGAAGUCUGACCUAUUGUCAAUUGUCUAAGCAAAAACACCAUGGGAGAGAAUUGAGGACUGCAUUUAGGAGCAUUUCCAAGCCGUUUUCACAUUCUGUAAACAUCAGUUGACCAGAUACUGGCUGAACUCACAGCACAGUAAGAUGUAGGAUCCUACGGGAAGUCAAUGGAUGCUGGACCUGGCCCAACUCCGGGAGGAAGCAGGUUUCAGUGUCUCUGGUUUUAUGUGGAGGUCUUUGAUCCACUUGGACUUGAGCUUUGUACAAGGAGAUAAGAUCAAAAACUCAGGUGACAGCAGAUGCUGGUGAGGAUGUGGGAAAAGAGGAACACUCCUCCAUUGCUGGUGGGAUUGCAAGCUGGUACAAUCACUCUGGAAAUCAGUUUGGCUGAAAAUUGGACAUAGUACUACCAGAAGAUAUAGCAAUACCACUCCUGGGCAUAUACCCAGAAGAUGCUCCAACAUUUAGUAAGGACACAUGCUCCACUAUGUUCAUAGCAGCCUUAUUUAUAAUAGCCAGAAGCCGAAAAGAACCCAGAUGUCCCUCAACAGAGGAAUGGAUACAGAAAAUGUGGUACAUUUACACAAUGGAGUACUAUACAGCUAUUAAAAACAAUGAAUUUCUAAAAUUCUUAGGCAAAUGGAUGAUCUGGAGGAUAUCAUCCUGAGUGAGGUAACCCAAUCACAAAAGAACACACAUGAUAUGCACUCACUGAUAAGUGGAUAUUAGCCCAGAAGCUAGGAGUACCCAAAAUACAGUUGCAGAACACAUGAAGCUCAAGAAGAAGGAAGACCAAAGUGUGAAUACUUCGAGCCUUCUUAGAAGGGGGAGCAAAAUACACAUGGAAGGAAUUACAGAGACAAAAUGUGGAACAGAUACUGAAGGAAUGACCAUCCAGAGACUGCCCCACCUGGGGAUCUGUCCCAUAUACAGUUACUAAACCCAGACACUAUUUUGGAUGCCAACAAGAGCUUGCUGACAGGAGCCUGAUAUAGCUGUCUCCUGAGAGGCUCUGCCUGUGCCUGAAAAAUACAGAAGUGGGUGCUCACAACCAUCCAUUGGAUGUAACACAGGGUCCCCAAUGAUGAAGCUAGAGAAAGGACCCAAGAAGCUGAAGGUGUUUGCAGCCCCAUAGGAGGAACAACAAUAUCAACUAACCAGUACCCCAGAGCUCCCUGGGACUACACCACCAACCAAAGAAAACAUAUGGUGGGGCUCAUGGCUCUAGCUGCAUAUGUAGCAGAGGAUGUAUAUGCAGCCUAGUUGGUCAUCAAUGGGAGGAGAGGCCCUUGGUCCUGUGAAGGUUUCAUGCCCCAGUAUAGGGGAAUGCCAAGCCAAUAAGCAGGAGUGGUGGGUUCAGCGGGAGAGGGGAGGAAAUAGGUGGGUUUUCUUUUUUUGGGGGGGGGACCAAGAAAGGGGAUAACAUUUGAAAUGUAAAUAAAGAAAAUAUCAAAAGAAGAAGAAGAAGAAGAAGAGGAAGAGGAAGAGGAAGAAGAAAGAAGAAGAAGAAGAAGAAGAAGAAGAAGAAGAAGAAGAAGAAGAAGAAGAAGAAGAAGAAGAAGAGGAAGAAGAGGAAGAAGAGGAAGAAGAAGAGGAAGAAGAAGAAGAAGAAGAAGAAGAAGAAGAAGAAGAAGAAGAAGAAGAAGAAGAAGAAGAAGAAGAAGAAGAAAGAACCAAAGAGUAGAUAUACCAGGAACCUGGGAUAAAACUAAAAAUAUUGAUCUAAAAAAAAACAAGAAAAAAAUUCAGUGGUAAAAUGACUACUGAUGAUAUUCUGCUACACUCAUGAAUCGUCAUCAAAGAAUAUUCCUCCUGCCACAGAGGGGAACAAACACAAAAACCCACAGCCAGACAUUAUGCAGAGAGUGAGACACAUUGGAACACAGUCCUAAAUUGUAGUGAGAAUUUUAGUUUCUUAAAAAAACCCAGUUAUGUUACAUGAAUGUUUUUAAUCCCUGGUGUGAGAUAAGAGGAUGCUUCAUAGCAGGUGAUUAUGAUAUGUCUCAUGCACUACCAGGGGUGUGAUUUUUGCCAGUUGCAGAUAGUUUAAUUCUGGGGACAUUUGAGAGGGUAUAAAUGCCAGAGCCACAAGAUGGGUCGAGCAGGGGCACUCUGUGGCAGCUGCUGUUCCUGGGUGUUGUUGUUGAAGUUUGAGCAGCAGAAAUAAUUGUAUACCAUAAAAUACCACUCCCCAUAGUGCCAAAACUAAAUGGAUGUGUCCAUCAAAUCCCCCCCUCAGAGUUCAGGGAAUCUCACAGAAGAGGAGGCUGAGAGAAUGUAAGAACCAGAGGGGAUGGAGGACACCAAGAAAACAAGGCCCUUUGAAUUAACAUGAACAAAUCUCACAGAGACUGAAGCAGCAUGAACAGAGCCUGCAGGUCUUCUGCAUAAAUAUCAUGGCUUCUAGUUUAGUAUUUUUAGUAGGAUUCCUGGGUACAAAUGAAUGGGUUUCUGAUUCUUGUGCCUUCUUUUGUCUUUUUUUUUUUCUUUUUGUUCAUUUGUCUUUCCAAUACUAGUGUGAUAGUUUUUGUUUUAUCUUAUUGGAUUUCAUUUUGCUAUAUUUUAUUAUCACCUCUUAGAGACAGAAAGGGAGUGGAUACAGAUAGCAGGGGAAAUGGGGAGGAACUGGAAGAAGUAGAGGGAGGGAACGCUGUAAUCAGAAUAAGUUAUAUAAGAAAAGAAUCAAUUUCCAAUAAUGGUAAAUAAAAUAAAAUAGAGCUAAGAAUAUUGUAUGAUUGAAAAAUUCAUAUUUAAAUGACAAUUUUCUUGUGCCUUUAGUGAUAAAAUUGAGAUGUUAUAUGACAUCUUCUGUGAUGAUAAUUUAUUACAUGUGAUCACAUUAAAGUAUUUCAACAUGACAUAAAAUAAUGAUGAGUUUCUGGAUCUAAAUAUUGCUUAAAAUACUUUUUGACAGUUCAAUUGCUACUGCCUCAAAAGAGGGGCACUUUUAUGAAUUAGAGUUAAUUAAAAAUACUAAGGAUUAAAACAAUUCAAGAAAACUUCUUUUAGUUUGGAUUUUCUGUCAGCAGAGAGCAGAUUAUGUGAAACUCUUUUAAACAUUAAGGACAUAAUGAAAUAAAGAGAAAAUGAAAUGAGAAAAAAAU
This 3245-nucleotide long non-coding RNA is filed under the name Mus musculus (house mouse). Its description in RNAcentral is "predicted gene, 46516". The record is from RNAcentral. Lineage: Eukaryota; Metazoa; Chordata; Mammalia; Rodentia; Muridae.